Molecule: long non-coding RNA, 2390 nt
Organism: Varroa destructor (honeybee mite)
Lineage: Eukaryota; Metazoa; Arthropoda; Arachnida; Mesostigmata; Varroidae
Source: RefSeq, a predicted model, not a curated record
ACAAUUACAAGAUAACUCAUAUUAUAUACAGAAGCGUUUAAUCAAAAUUUAACACCAACGGAAACCACAACCACGAAAUUACGCUUUAGUCUUCAGUUACUGUGAACAUGCACUAGCAAAAUAGUGAUAAACGCGCUUACGGUAAGUGAAUCGUUAAUACAACUUAAUUCAUAAUUAUAAGUUAAGUUUACCUGCGUCCGUUCCACUUUCGGGCAUCGUUAUUGCUACAUUGCUGGCCUGCAUGUGUUUUUCUGCAGAGAGUUUCCCGGUUUCCGUUUACAUCGGCUGUUAACAAGGAUCUUCCUUUCCUUGUAUGAACAAAUGCCCCUGCUGGAGCAUACACUCUGCGCAGCAUUCUGUUGGGAACGUUAGAAUGACUGUGCGUGGUGUCUCUUCCUUGUUUGUCUGGUUUUUUUUCUAGGAGAAUGUUGCAAUCUGAGGUUACAGCGAAAUAGACUCGGUUGAAUUGUUCGUUUGCCUGUUUGCGUUCGCUGACAUUAUGUAAAAGUGUAGACUACCGCGAGCGAUCGAAGAGGGUUGGUCCGUGCACUGCUGUUUUCUCCAAAAGUGCAAUGUAAACAUAGCACGAAAUAAAACUCUACGCAGCUUUUAACAAAACAAGCUAAAAAGCAAAAAGCGACGGAAACGAUAAAAAAACUAUCGACGCUAACGGCAAAAACGAAAUGUUGCGACAAAUAUAACAAGCGAACGCAAGGCCGGCAAGGGGAUAGAGCAAAAUAAAUUCGCUUCGGGGCCUUAACAGCCGCGUUUUUUGAGCUUUCUAAAGCUUGACAGUGGCCAACGGCGAGUGUACACGUUAUAGCCCUUCGUCGGUCUCGAGUUAACUCAGGUCUUCAGGUUACCGAGUAAUCGAUCAACGGCACCUGUGUUCGCCGCAACGACGAAGCUUUAGUAAUAACCCGACCUCAGCGAGGUCGACUGGAAACUGUCUCAUCGUCGAGAAGCGGUGCAUCGUUAAUGUUGCAGCAGUUUCGCCGACUCCUCACACUGCUGCUGCUCCUAAGGGCCUUGGGAUCAGGGGCUUCGUAAGGAACUGUCAUCGAGGGAAAAGAUUACACACUACUACGGCGACUAUUAGGAAGACAUGAGGCCCAAGAUGAAUUGUCAAAGGGUUACGUUGCGCUGACAUUUAUCUGCGUCAGUACGUGAGAAUAAGUUAUCCCAAAGCUGCCUCCUAUCUUUCUGAUGGAAACCAAACGCAACAAACUAAUGCAUAGCAAUAAUAGCCUCAAUGGUCGGAACUUGGAUUGCUACCGGAAGACUGCUCACUUUUACUUAGACUAUGCCGUACGCAAUAACAAAAACGAUGUACAGGCGGCAUGAGUGCACCGCUCUCGGACCUUGCAAACGUAUAUCCGCGUGCAACGAAGUGGGUGUGUAGGCAUGUGGACGCUAUCGAACUUCAUUUACCUCGAAAAAUAUCUACAUGAGAACUCCUUGUAAUCGUGCUUUAACUUUGCAACUUGUAACUCGUUUUCUGGGAGGUAUUAAUAUGAUACCGACGCUUCAAAGACUAGGAGCUAGCAUUUGCAUAACUUAUUCAUAAAAAGCCCAUAAUUCGACUGCGCUGAUACGUUUCACGCGGGUGUUGGCUGUGACCAUCCAGCGUCGUCUGGCGUCAUCGUCGUGUGUGCGUUUUGGUCGAUUCGGCGUGAUGGAAAGCGGAGGUCGUUGUUAUUUUUCUGGCAGCCUUAGGGCCUUCGUCGCUGAAGCGGAUGCAAAAAAAAGCAGAGGAAGUUUGAGGAGUUAAAAGCCGCACCCCCAGCGAAGGCGGCAGCAACGGUACUGAGCACAGGCGUUGUAGAAGAAACGUCUUUGCUAAUCCAGGUAAGAGGUUGCAACUGCCCUUACUCUUUAACUCCUUCCGUACAUGUUUCCCCGUCGAAUAAACCCUUUGAGGGAACGGCUCUAGUAAAGGCAGAAAGAAGCAGACGAAGCGGUGAAGGCGACUUCGCCGCCGCUAAGCGCCGAGCACCAGACAUUGAGUGCUGUCGAGUUCGGAGGUCCGGGAUGGAGUGCAGCCUCGUACAAGUCCCUAAAGGCCAGAAGAAAACUUUUUCUAUAGGGUGACAGCACAGUGCCCCCUUCACCAUUACCGCCAACACUACGAACAGGCUACUGAGUUACUUUGGGUCGGCAUUUCCCUUGGCGGGCACUCCCAACAUAUCCUAAGACGGCCUUUGACUAAGAGUCACUCAAGAUUCUGUCUGACCUGAACCACAUAUCUGGCUGGAUGGGGAUUUCGUUGUCGGGGUGUGGCACCAAUAGCGAGUGAUGUACUGCAAUUUUUCUGCUGUACAACAGUUAGUCAAUAUCAAAACACCUGACUUUUUAAGAAGUGGGCCUAAUCGCGAAAAUUUGAAAACACU